This is a non-coding RNA of Taeniopygia guttata (zebra finch), 543 nucleotides long. The record is from RefSeq and is a predicted model, not a curated record. Lineage: Eukaryota; Metazoa; Chordata; Aves; Passeriformes; Estrildidae.
AAGCCUCUCGGAGAUCGCCUCGGGAACAGCUUUACACCCUGAAAGGGACACGAUGCGAGGUCGCUGCUGGUCCCGGCCCCGCGGCACACCGAGGCUCAGCAGGGCGGUGCCGGCUCUGGCUGCGCUGUCCCCGCUCCCAGAGCUGCGGCAGCAGCUGCGGAGACAAGCGCAGCCUCCGGGAGCUCUGCGCUCCCCGCAGCCCCGGCCCCUGUGGCUCUGCAGCCGCUGCAGCCCAGCUCCGGGCGGCACAGCCGCUCUGGCUCCCUGCCCGUGGCCGUGAAGCGGCUCCUGGCACAGAGGGCAGCGCCGAGAAGCCUCGGCCCGGAGCGGGCAGCGUGCGGCGCUUUCUGCCCCCGCUCGGCGCCCGCAGCGCUUCGGGCUCUGAGGCACGUUCAGCUUCAUCCCGCGGCAGCCCCGAGCCGGGCACGGACACCUCCCGCCCGAGCAGCGGCCCCAGCCCGCAGCGAGCCCCGAGCUGGGGCACGACCGACCGCGGGUCCCACCUGGGCCGGAGCCGCCUCCGAGCUCCGCCGCCGCCCCGCC